Molecule: ribosomal RNA, 497 nt
Filed under: uncultured bacterium
Lineage: Bacteria
Description: partial 16S ribosomal RNA
Rfam family: Bacterial small subunit ribosomal RNA
Source: RNAcentral
GAUGAACGCUGGCGGCGUGCCUAAUACAUGCAAGUCGAGCGAACAGAUGAGGAGCUUGCUCCUCUGACGUUAGCGGCGGACGGGUGAGUAACACGUGGAUAACCUACCUAUAAGACUGGGAUAACUUCGGGGAACCGGAGCUAAUACCGGAUAAUAUAUUGAACCGCAUGGUUCAAUAGUGAAAGACGGUUUUGCUGUCACUUAUAGAUGGAUCCGCGCCGCAUUAGCUAGUUGGUAAGGUAACGGCUUACCAAGGCAACGAUGCGUAGCCGACCUGAGAGGGUGAUCGGCCACACUGGAACUGAGACACGGUCCAGACUCCUACGGGAGGCAGCAGUAGGGAAUCUUCCGCAAUGGGCGAAAGCUUGACGGAGCAACGCCGCGUGAGUGAUGAAGGUCUUCGGAUCGUAAAACUCUGUUAUUAGGGAAGAACAGAUGUGUAAGUAACUAUGCACGUCUUGACGGUACCUAAUCAGAAAGCCACGGCUAACUACGUG